AAAAAGACAAACCCUGGGUUUCCGUGUCAAACAUUUGACCGUCCGUUUUAUUUAAAAAAAAUAUGAAAAAAAUUAAAAAAACAAAUCACACAUAAAGUAUUAAUCAUAUUUUAUCAUCUAACAACAAUGAAAAUACUAAUUAUAAAAAAAUUUCAUAUAAGACGGACAGUCAAACGUUGGACACGGAAACCUAGGGUUUGUCUUUUU
Molecule: microRNA precursor, 207 nt
Filed under: Oryza barthii
Lineage: Eukaryota; Viridiplantae; Streptophyta; Magnoliopsida; Poales; Poaceae
Description: MIR812 microRNA precursor family
Rfam family: MIR812 microRNA precursor family
Source: Rfam by way of RNAcentral